CAGAUGGCAGAACAAUACUGUAAACAACGCAUCGAGCGGAGAGUGCACACGGUGGGAGAUACUUCGCAGCCAGUUGCGACACUUGACGAGCAUUUGUCUUAAACUCCUUUACAAUAAAGAGGAGAAGUCUAGCAUUUGAUUGUCUAAUAUUUUCGACGCCACCGUCGUAAAGAAGGAACUUUUUUUUUUAAGUCGACUUUAAAAGAGAAGAUGAUUAUCCCUAUUCGCUGUUUUACCUGUGGAAAGGUCAUUGGUAACAAGUGGGAAAUCUAUUUGGGCUACUUAUCUGCUGAAUAUACAGAAGGUGAUGCCCUAGAUGCUCUUGGCCUUAAGAGAUAUUGCUGCCGUAGGAUGUUAUUGGGACAUGUGGACCUCAUUGAGAAGCUGCUUAACUAUGCUCCACUUGAGAAAUAACCUUCAUAACAGAUUAAAUGACUUCAGUUUGAUUUAAGAAGAAGUGAAAAGGAGAUUGAUUUGGGUGGCCUGAAAUCAAGAUGUUCCAGUGAAAGCAGCGAACAAGCAAGGAUGAAGAUUUUGUAAUAAAAUUGAAAAGUGAUA
Non-coding RNA from Penaeus vannamei (Pacific white shrimp), 558 nucleotides. NCBI's taxonomy places the organism in Eukaryota, Metazoa, Arthropoda, Malacostraca, Decapoda, Penaeidae. The record is from RefSeq and is a predicted model, not a curated record.